Molecule: ribosomal RNA, 463 nt
Filed under: uncultured bacterium
Lineage: Bacteria
Description: bacterial SSU rRNA
Rfam family: Bacterial small subunit ribosomal RNA
Source: RNAcentral
UGAACGCUGGCGGCGUGCCUAACACAUGCAAGUCGAACGAGAACGGGUUAUAGCUUGCUAUAACUGUCAGCUAAGUGGCGCACGGGUGAGUAAUAUAUAGUUAACCUGCCCCAAAGAAGAGAAUAAUUGUUGGAAACGACUUGUAAUGCUCUAUAUGCCUUUAUCACAUAAGUGAGCAAGGGAAACAUUUAUGGCUUUGGGAUGGGACUGUACGGUAUCAGCUUGUUGGUGAGGUAAUGGCUCACCAAGGCUAUGACGCCUAACUGGUUUGAGAGGAUGAUCAGUCACACUGGAACUGAGACACGGUCCAGACUCCUACGGGAGGCAGCAGUGGGGAAUAUUGCACAAUGGAGGAAACUCUGAUGCAGCAACGCCGCGUGGAGGAUGACACAUUUCGGUGCGUAAACUCCUUUUAUGAGUCAAGAAAAUGACGGUAGCUCAUGAAUAAGCACCGGCUAACUCC